Molecule: unclassified non-coding RNA, 267 nt
Filed under: Hevea brasiliensis (rubber tree)
Lineage: Eukaryota; Viridiplantae; Streptophyta; Magnoliopsida; Malpighiales; Euphorbiaceae
Source: RNAcentral
GCAAAUCAACCAGUUGGAAUACUAAACCAGCAGCAAGAACAGCAAAUACCAGUCACAACAUUGAUACCACAAAUGCAUAAUGUUCAUCAGCUAGCAAUAGGACGACUACAAAUACAGACCAACAAAGGACCAAUAAAAUCAAAGACAUGGUGAACAAGGACAUGUAACAAUUUGAAGUUCAAGAGAAAUAACAACAAAAAUAACAAAUAGAAAGUGAAAACAUUAAAAAUAAAAUUAGAACAUUCAAAAUGUUCAUGUUCUUCAUCA